This 399-nucleotide ribosomal RNA is filed under the name uncultured bacterium. RNAcentral describes it as "partial 16S ribosomal RNA". It matches the Rfam family "Bacterial small subunit ribosomal RNA", at positions 360 to 773 of the family's 1533-position model. The record is from RNAcentral.
AAUCUUGCGCAAUGGGGGAAACCCUGACGCAGCGACGCCGCGUGAGUGAUGAAGGCCUUCGGGUUGUAAAACUCUGUCCUCAGGGGAGAAAACAAUGACGGUACCUGAGGAGGAAGCCCCGGCUAACUACGUGCCAGCAGCCGCGGUAAUACGUAGGGGGCGAGCGUUGUCCGGAAUUAUUGGGCGUAAAGGGUGCGUAGGCGGCCUUUUAAGUCAGGUGUGAAAGACCACAGCUUAACUGUGGGGUUGCAUUUGAAACUAGAAGGCUUGAGUAUCGGAGAGGGUAGUGGAAUUCCUGGUGUAGCGGUGAAAUGCAUAGAUAUCAGGAGGAACACCAGUGGCGAAGGCGACUACCUGGACGAAAACUGACGCUGAGGCACGAAAGCUAGGGUAGCAAAC